UACGGAGGGGGCUAGCGUUGUUCGGAAUUACUGGGCGUAAAGCGCACGUAGGCGGCUUUUUAAGUCAGAGGUGAAAGCCCGGAGCUCAACUCCGGAAUUGCCUUUGAGACUGGAAGGCUUGAAUCACGGAGAGGUGGGUGGAAUUCCGAGUGUAGAGGUGAAAUUCGUAGAUAUUCGGAAGAACACCAGUGGCGAAGGCGGCCCACUGGACGUGUAUUGACGCUGAGGUGCGAAAGCGUGGGGAGCAAACAGG
This 253-nucleotide ribosomal RNA is filed under the name uncultured Sphingomonadaceae bacterium. RNAcentral describes it as "partial 16S ribosomal RNA". It matches the Rfam family "Bacterial small subunit ribosomal RNA", at positions 524 to 776 of the family's 1533-position model. The record is from RNAcentral. Lineage: Bacteria; Pseudomonadati; Pseudomonadota; Alphaproteobacteria; Sphingomonadales; Sphingomonadaceae.